GAUGAACGCUGGCGGCAGGCCUAACACAUGCAAGUCGAACGGAUCCUUCGGGAUUAGUGGCGGACGGGUGAGUAACGCGUGGGAACAUACCCUUUGGUACGGAAUAGCCUCGGGAAACUGGGAGUAAUACCGUAUGUGGUCGAGAGACGAAAGAUUUAUCGCCAAAGGAUUGGCCCGCGUUGGAUUAGGUAGUUGGUGGGGUAAUGGCCUACCAAGCCGACGAUCCAUAGCUGGUUUGAGAGGAUGAUCAGCCACACUGGGACUGAGACACGGCCCAGACUCCUACGGGAGGCAGCAGUGGGGAAUCUUAGACAAUGGGGGAAACCCUGAUCUAGCCACGCCGCGUGAUCGAUGAAGGCCUUAGGGUUGUAAAGAUCUUUCAGGUGGGAAGAUAAUGACUGUACCACCAGAAGAAGCCCCGGCUAACUCCGUGCCAGCCGCCGCAGUAA
This 449-nucleotide ribosomal RNA is filed under the name uncultured bacterium. Its description in RNAcentral is "partial 16S ribosomal RNA". It matches the Rfam family "Bacterial small subunit ribosomal RNA", at positions 28 to 523 of the family's 1533-position model. The record is from RNAcentral.